RNAcentral lists this transfer RNA (73 nucleotides) under Eurydactylodes agricolae. RNAcentral describes it as "tRNA-Asn". The record is from RNAcentral. Lineage: Eukaryota; Metazoa; Chordata; Lepidosauria; Squamata; Diplodactylidae.
UAGAUUGAAGCCCGCUGGUUUGGGUAUUUAGUUGUUAACUAAAGGUUUAUGGGAUCAAGGCCCGUCGAUCUAG